GUCCCAGUAUGACCCUAAGUCCAAAGGACAUAUUCUGUGCCUGUUUCAUUAAAAGGUAACUACAGGCCACCUGGGUGGCUCAGUAGGGUCAUGAUCCAAGGGUCCUGGGAUCGAGCCCCUCAUCGGGCUCCCUGCUCAGUGAGAAGCCUGCUUCCUCCUCUCCCAUUCCCUCUGCUUGUGUUCCUUUUUGCUGUGCCUUGCUUUCAAAUAAAUCUUAAACUAUAAAGAAAUGAGUCAUAUACUUUUAAAAUUGUUCAUUUUAUUAAAUAAUCUAGAAUGUCAGACCAGUGCAUUGGUCUGACACUUCUUCCCUGUCCCACAGCAUCCCCAGGAAGCGUAGGGGCAUGGGAUUCGGUUAGGCUCCAGCGCUCCCUUUAUUCAAGACAACAUGGAAAGAAAGCCCAAAGGCGGAUCCUUGCAUAUCAGGGAAGCCGCGUUCAUCUUUCAACCGCCUCUAAAGAGGAAGAGGUCUCAAACCCAAAUGGUCCCCAUGAAAUUAUGUAGAACGGGGCAGACAUGGAAGACACCAGUCCACACCAUCCCAACUCUCACUCUUAGCAUUAUUUCUAGUUUGGAAAAGGGGGAAAAAAACAGAUGAACUAUAAUAAAAAUGAAGUGAGCAUUUUUAAGAAAACUUUGAUGGAAACAUCUGAAUUCAACUCCAGAAAAAAGUGCUACCAAGGGAAAAUAAAGU
This is a long non-coding RNA of Mustela lutreola (European mink), 694 nucleotides long. RefSeq lists it as uncharacterized. The transcript has 2 exons. Lineage: Eukaryota; Metazoa; Chordata; Mammalia; Carnivora; Mustelidae. The record is from RefSeq and is a predicted model, not a curated record.